This 2359-nucleotide long non-coding RNA is filed under the name Equus caballus (horse). RNAcentral describes it as "lncRNA (ENSECAG00000059725.1)". The record is from RNAcentral. Lineage: Eukaryota; Metazoa; Chordata; Mammalia; Perissodactyla; Equidae.
GUAGGCAGAACGGGCUCACUGCCAGCGCGCGGCCGCGGGGCUCCGAGGCCCUCCGCCACGCCUUGCAGUGUGGCGAAGCACAGCAGCUGCGGGCCUUGUUGGAGGGGAGGGCGCUCGGGGGCUGGCGUGGCCACCCCCCCAUGGCUGCUGGGCCUUCGGCAUCUCGUAGGUCCCCCAGGCGGCCCUCGGUCAGCAGGCGGCUCCCUGUAAGGCCUCAGCCUCGGCGGGCCACAGUUGACCGCGGGUCCCCCAUCACCUCCUCCAAGGUCUUUCUCUUCCCGGGUCGAGGGUCAGCAGGCCUCUGAGCAGCCGGGCGCACUGGCGCGACACCAGCCUGGGCGGCGAGUAAGCCCCCAGGAGCAUGCUGCGCUGCAUGGCGUGGAAUUCUUCACCUGAGAACGGCAGGGACCCGGCAAGCAUGGCGUGGAGCAGCACGCCGAGGCUCCAGACGUCGGCCGGGGGCCGUCGUAGGGCUGCCGCCGCAUGACCUCCGGCUCCAUGUAGCCGGGGGUGCCACAGAACGUGCUCAGCGGCCCACCGGGUCCAGGCUGCAGAAGCCGAAGUCGGCCAGCUUCGCGCUCCCCGCCGGGUCCAGGAGCACGUUCUCUGGCUUCAGGUCCCGGUGUAUGACGCCCCGGCGGUGGCGGUACUGGAGAGCAGAGACGAGCUGCCGGAACCAGCCUCGCGCCUCCUCCUCCGUCAGGGCGCCGUGCUCCAUCAGGUGGUCCAGCAGGUUGCCUCCGCGCACUAUUCACUGAUGAUGAAUAGUGUCUCCUCACUUUCGAUGACCUGCACCAUCAAGAUAUGGGGGUGAUGCAAUCUCGCCAGACCCUCGGUUUCGCAGAGAAGUCUCUUGGCGGUGGCGGCGCUCUGCUCCUUCUUCGGUGGUGUGGAGAGGAGCUCGAGAAGCUCAUUUCUAACCAGCUGCUGGGAGAACUCCUCCAGAGGCCUCCCUCCUGACGCAUCCUUGCCUGCUCCUUGCCAUCCCUGUCCGGGCUCCCUACUGACACGGCCCCUGGGCACCUGUGUCUCCACCCGGCCCUCUGCCUCCCAGGCCAGCAGGAAACCCUGGGCUUGUCUCCACUCUGCCUGCCUCGGGCCCUGUCUCCACGUGGCUCUCAGUUCCAGGCUCCCUACCCCUGAUGUCAUAUGCGGUUCUCGGGGGUUUUGAGCUGGUUUCCCACCACUUGUGGGGUGAGCUUAUCCCCAGUGGAGAUGCCAAGGUGCUCCACUGCCCUGCGUGGGGAAGUCCACGUCUGUGGCUAUUUGUCCUGCCUGCUCCCACCCUCUACCUCCCCAUCUUAUGCCAACAGUGCCUCUUUUUCCUCAGAAGACCCCCUCCAGCCUUUCCUAGUCCAUGUGGUUUGGGGGAAGUUAACCGUCUAUACACAGGCAUCAAAGAGAAACAUAGGACCUAGAUCCGGCCAGUCAGUGCGUUUCAUACCCUUUGAUCCGUCACCAGGCUGAGGAUGGACAUGCGACCUGGGCCCAGCCAUCCCGUGCUGGGACUUGCAAUGGACUCCUAUGAAUGAGAAGCCCUCUCCCUCUGAGGCGCUGCCAGGGCACCUCACGCAGGCACCUGACAGAAGGGUGAGGCCAACACGGAAAGCAGAGCUAAGGGAGCUCCUGAUGACACAAUCUGAGCCCCGGGUCAGGCCAGGCCUGGCGCUGCCCUGACUUGCAUGGGGAUGGGGCGCCGUGGGGCGGGGACUAAAGCCGUCGAAGCUCAGUGCUAGCUCAGGCGCUGAUGCUCGUGUGUGAUGGUGUGUCAGCACAGACUGAGGAGGGGAGAGGACUCCAGGGAGAGAAGCCCCAAGGGUGUGCACGCACAUACGCGUGUGGGCACACGCACGGCUCAGGCCAGACCAGCGCAGGUCAUGAGGGGCUUGCAGCCAACAGGGGGAGCGCCGGUCCAGUGGAAGAGGGGGGUUACCACGUUGCCGGGAUCCCUGCGUGACGCACAAUCAGCUUUGAAACGACAGUGAAAAUGAGGCACGUUAGGCAGCCGUUAAGAAGCGUGACGGGCGCCUGACUCAGAGCAGCAUUUCAUAUGGGGCAGCGGCCCCGUGGAUCUCUAAACAGCCUCGCCCUGUCUGAAGGUGUCACAUGAGAAUGUGAGCUCCCUGCCGCUAGGCGGCAAGCCACUGCUCAGGGGCAGACCUGCAGUGAAGGAGGGCAGCUGACAUCUGUAGUAGAGGAUGCGUCCCCAUGCGCCAGAGCCAGCAUCCUCGUGCGCCCAGCAGAGCAGGCUCCAGGGGACAGUUGGCUCUGUGAACCCAGGACAAAGCUGGCCCCAACCUCACACACUAACAGCGACCCACGGCAGAGUCCCGUUUACGCCAAGGGUGGCACAUUCAGA